RNAcentral lists this ribosomal RNA (403 nucleotides) under uncultured bacterium. RNAcentral describes it as "bacterial SSU rRNA". It matches the Rfam family "Bacterial small subunit ribosomal RNA", at positions 32 to 414 of the family's 1533-position model. The record is from RNAcentral.
AAUCAACGCUGGCGGCGUGCCUCAGACAUGCAAGUCGAACGAGAAAGUCCCCUUCGGGGGAUAAGUAAAGUGGCGCACGGGUGAGUAACACGUAGGUAAUCUACCUUCGGGUGGGGAAUAACCCAGGGAAACUUGGGCUAACACCGCAUAAUGCAGCGGCACCACAUGGUGACAGUUGUUAAAGCGGGGGGAUUUUCGGACCUCGCGCCUGAAGAGGAGCCUGCGGCGGAUUAGCUAGUUGGUAAGGAACGGCUUACCAAGGCAACGAUCCGUAGCCGGCCUGAGAGGGCGGUCGGCCACACUGACACUGACAUACGGGUCAGACUCCUACGGGAGGCAGCAGUCGGGAAUUUUGGGCAAUGGGCGAAAGCCUGACCCAGCAACGCCGCGUGAAGGAUGAAAU